This is an RNA transcript of Piliocolobus tephrosceles (Ugandan red Colobus), 2833 nucleotides long. RefSeq lists it as uncharacterized. The record is from RefSeq and is a predicted model, not a curated record. Lineage: Eukaryota; Metazoa; Chordata; Mammalia; Primates; Cercopithecidae. The transcript is spliced from 5 exons.
GGGGGGCUGGGAAAGUUGAGGCCGCGCUGCCGCCGGGUCUCCGGCCUUGAGGGCUCGGGCUCGCAGCGGCGGCGGUGGCCGUAAAAAGAGGCGGCGGGGGCGGGGGGAGAGGAGGGCCUGGGCCCGCGCUCCCCCAGCCCCGGAGGAGCAGGCGGCGGCCGCGGACGGAGAGAUUCGUCCAGACGGUCAGACACUCCUGCCUUCCCCUCCUGGGAUCAUGACCCAGGCGGGGGUCUUCGCCGUCCCCGCCGCCACCGCGGCCGAGACCGCGCAGCCGGCGGUAAGAAGAAAGCAUAACCCAUAGACCAUCUUCUGGCAGAAGAUGAUACAUUUGGAUCAGAAACGGGAGGCAUUGGAAGCCAGGAAUCAAAAGUGAAGAAACUCUGCAAGCCCUUAGGUUCCUAUUACUGUAACCAUGCCAGAAAUGACAGAGAAUGAGACGCCUACAAAAAAGCAGCACAGAAAGAAAAACCGGGAGACACACAAUGCAGUGGAGAGGCAUAGAAAGAAGAAAAUCAAUGCUGGGAUAAACAGAAUAGGAGAGCUGAUCCCAUGUUCUCCUGCCCUGAAGCAGGUAAGAAGUCUACUUAUAUCCUCAUUCAAUGCAUAUUAACAGACAAUUCCCUAAGUUGUUUUGGUGCUUUGAAUGAUUAUUUUUGUUCCUUUCUGUUUCUAUGUAUGGUUCUUUUGAAGUUAAUAAUUGCCUUGUUUUAAUUCUUCCCAUGCUUCCAACAGUCUUUUAGUACAGUUUCUUCAUGGUCAAAUGUACCAUAUAAUUUCUAGACUCUUCAGUUUUCUCUUGAUUACUGAGUUAAUCACAUGACUGUGCUUACGUAUAUGCAACUCUAUUUGCCAGGCAUUUUUUCAUUUUGUUUUCCUGCCAAUGCAUGUUCCUACUCCUUUUAAAUUCUUACUUAGAAUCUUCUAAGGAUCUUUUAAAAAAUCUAUUCUCCAUGCCCUCUUAACCCCCAGUAGUAUUUAAAAUCUCAGCUUAAAGUAUGACAGUGUCCUCUAAUGAAGGUGCCUUUUUGUUCCUUCUAAUGAUGAGGAUAACGCAUGCUCCACUGAAAGCAAAACAAAACAAAAAAUUGAAACAAUAUGAAAGGCAUGAGAGGGUUUAAAAAAUAAAUUGAUAUCUUACUCCCAAGCAAUAAUCACUAUUAUAAUGUUGUAAUUAAAUGAAAAUAUGGAAAAACUUAAUAAGACACAUAGCAAAUGGCACUAAAAAGCUUAAAACAACAAACAUUAAUCUCCUACCUGCUUCCUAACCCCAACACAGCUCCUCAGAAGCAAAUAGUCUCAACCAUUUCUUCUGCUUUUUUCUCCCUGUUAUAUUUCUAAAUAACAUACUUUUGUUGCUGUACCUGAAUUUUUCAAUUUUAGAUAUUAUCUAUUGACUCGUUGUUAUGUUUUUCCUCUGACUUCUUCUUCUUCAGUCCUCCCAUUAUAUUUCUAUGACUUUUGGUUAAAUCGGUAUUCAGUUUUUAUGUUUUUAAGAGAGUAAAUGUUAUUCAUGGUUGUGCCAAGGAGUGUACUAUUAUUAUAUUUCGUUUGUUGCUUUUGUCUUUGGGGGGAGUAAAUAAUUUCUUCAUAGUUUUCCAUUUGCUUAAUUUUUCAUAUACUUAUCUUUAAUCCUUCUGACACUUCCAACCAUCUCUUAGUAGAGUUUUCUUCAAGGUCGAGUGUACUACAUAGUUUUCAUUUGCCAUUUUCUUUCUUCAAGACUUUACUUCUGGAACCCUCUGUUCUCCUUUUUCAUUCUCAACCAGUUGGCCUCUUCCAGCUCUUCUGUUUUUAAUUGCAGCUCUUAUAUUUUUAAUUUCCAAGAGUCUUUUUUCUUAUUCUCUGUUCCUUUUCCUACAAUAUGUUUGUGGAUACAAUAUCUUCUCACCUCUGAAUAGUAUAUGCAGGUGUUUUCCUGAAGUUUUUUUCAGUUUAUGUUUAUUUCCUCUGAUUUCCUUUUUUCCCCUUUUUGUCUUUUCUUUUUUUAGGAAGGUUUUCUUUAAAUGUUUGGUGACUUGAAGCUGUUUUUUUCUUUCUUGGGAAUGAGGUAUUAAAAAGCUGAUUGAAUAGAUUUAUCUUUUGGUGGCCCUAAGUGUUGCAUGAUUAGAAGCUAUGCUAGUUUUGUUGUUCUUGUUGUGGAACUAAAACAUAUCAGUAUUUGUAGUUUUUUUCUUUUGUGGGAUAGCUAUUAAGUUUUUUAUUUUCUCAGAGAAGAACCCAUCAGUCUCCUGCCUGGGAGUGGAACUGGUAGCAAGAGGAGUAUAAGCCUGGUUGCUAUUAUUCUGGGCGCUGGAUGGGGGUUGGGGGGCUAGAGCGUCUUGUGCUGUAGUAGGCAGAGUUUUACUCUACCCCCGUUUCACUUAGGACCCUCGUCUUGUCCACUUUUGUGCCAAGUAUCCCUGAGGUUGAAAUUCUCUGGUUCAAAUUUCACAGAAAAUAAACUUGUCUCUUGCGGUUUGGGCAGGAAGGGAAAGUCAUCCAGCUGUGUAGAAUAUGCGCGUGGGGGCAGGGUAGGGGGUGGUUCUUACUACUGCUUUAUUAGGAGUCUUUCAGCCAGUUCCCCUCUAUUUUAACCCCCAGCUCACCCCACCUUCUGUAGAGGCUGGUGGUUCUCAGUGUUGAGCCUUCCCAGGAUGUCAAAGGAGCAAAUCAGCUUGCUUCUCUAUGUUAUCUCCCUUGGAAAGGACUUACUCUUCAUUUCCUUUCAUUCUGCCCUGUAGGAUGGACUUAGACUUUCCAUAUAUGGUUUUUUAAAUUUUUUAAUUUUUAUUUAUUUUUUUUAGAUGGAGUCUCAUUCUAUCGCCUAGGCUGGAAUUCAGUGGCAUGAUCU